CCUACGGGUGACAGCAGUUGGGGAUAUUGCACAAUGGGCGAAAGCCUGAUGCAGCGACGCCGCGUGAGGGAAGACGGUCCUCGGAUUGUAAACCUCUGUCUUUGGGGACGAAAAUGACGGUACCCAAAGAGGAAGCUCCGGCUAACUACGUGCCAGCAGACGCGGUAAUACGUAGGGCGCAAGCGUUGUCCGGAAUUACUGGGUGGAAAGGGGGCGUAGGCGGGAUGGCAAGUAGAAUGUUAAAUCCAUCAGCUCAACCGGUGGCUGCGUUCUAAACUGCCGUUAGUGAGUGAAGUAGAGGCAGGCGGAAUGCCUAGUGUAGCGGUGAAAUGCGUAGAUAUUAGGAGGAACACCAGUGGCGAAGGCGGCCUGCUGGGCUUUAACUGACGCUGAGGCUCGAAAGCGUGGGGAGCAAACAGGAUUAGAUACCCGAGUAGUC
This 439-nucleotide ribosomal RNA is filed under the name uncultured bacterium. RNAcentral's name for it is "partial 16S ribosomal RNA". It matches the Rfam family "Bacterial small subunit ribosomal RNA", at positions 338 to 795 of the family's 1533-position model. The record is from RNAcentral.